RNAcentral lists this non-coding RNA (100 nucleotides) under marine eukaryotic metagenome. RNAcentral's name for it is "SAM riboswitch (S box leader)". It matches the Rfam family "SAM riboswitch aptamer (S box leader)". From Rfam's summary of the family: The SAM riboswitch is found upstream of a number of genes which code for proteins involved in methionine or cysteine biosynthesis in Gram-positive bacteria. The SAM riboswitch acts at the level of transcription termination control. The record is from RNAcentral.
UCUUAUCCAGAGAGGUGGAGGGAUCGGCCCUACGAAACCUCGGCAACCGGCGCACACGCGCAAGGUGCCAAUUCCGGCAGACAAUGUCUGGGAGAUGAGA